UACGGAGGGUGCGAGCGUUGUCCGGAAUCAUUGGGCGUAAAGGGCGCGUAGGUGGCCCGGUCAGUUCGUGGUGAAAGCGCGGGGCUCAACCCUGCGUCGGCCAUGAAUACUGCCGCGGCUGGAGCACUGUAGAGGCAGGCGGAAUUCCGGGUGUAGCGGUGGAAUGCGUAGAGAUCCGGAAGAACACCGGUGGCGAAGGCGGCGAUCUGGACGAUGACUGACGCUGAGACGCGAAAGCGUGGGGAGCAAACAGG
RNAcentral lists this ribosomal RNA (254 nucleotides) under uncultured bacterium. Its description in RNAcentral is "partial 16S ribosomal RNA". It matches the Rfam family "Bacterial small subunit ribosomal RNA", at positions 524 to 776 of the family's 1533-position model. The record is from RNAcentral.